GAUGAACGCUAGCGGCAGGCCUAAUACAUGCAAGGCGAGGGGUUCGCAAGGACACCGUCGUACGGGUGCGUAACGCGUAUGCAACCUACCUAUCACAGGGGGAUAGCCUUUGGAAACAGGGAUUAAUACCGCAUAAAGCAGGGGCUUGGCAUCAAGAUACUGCUAAAGAUUUAUCGGUGAUAGAUGGGCAUGCGUCUGAUUAGUUAGUUGGCAGGGUAACGGCCUACCAAGACGAUGAUCAGUAGGGGCGUCAGAGCGUGGUCCCCCACACUGGCACUGAGAUACGGGCCAGACUCCUACGGGAGGCAGCAGUAGGGAAUAUUGGGCAAUGGGUGCAAGCCUGACCCAGCCAUGCCGCGUGGAGGAAGAAGGUCCUCUGGAUUGUAAACUCCUUUUGUCGGGGAAGAAGAGUCAUCUUGCGAGGUGAUGUGACGGUACCCGAUGAAUAAGCCACGGCUAACUACGUGCCAGCAGC
RNAcentral lists this ribosomal RNA (475 nucleotides) under uncultured bacterium. Its description in RNAcentral is "bacterial SSU rRNA". It matches the Rfam family "Bacterial small subunit ribosomal RNA", at positions 28 to 515 of the family's 1533-position model. The record is from RNAcentral.